GUUCUUCAUCAAUGAUUUGUGAUGAUGAAGAUGCUCCGAAGUUCCACGAUGCCAUUAUGAAAUAGUUGAAGUUGGAAGCAAUAGAAGAGCAAUAGAGGAGUAAUACAAGAGCAAUAGAAGAGCAAUAGAGGAGCAAUAGAAAAGCAAUAGAGGUAGGUGAAGAAGAAGAUUACNAGACCACAAAUAAGUGUAUAACGGACAACGUAAUAAUGGAAUGAUUAACUAUUGGUAUAUAUAUUGAAAUGUUAAACUUUAUUUUCACUAUCCUUAUUAAAUAACAGCAUGCAUGCAUUGAGCUUUCAUU
This 304-nucleotide long non-coding RNA is filed under the name Vigna radiata. Its description in RNAcentral is "long non-coding RNA (VRAD_LNC018088)". The record is from RNAcentral. Lineage: Eukaryota; Viridiplantae; Streptophyta; Magnoliopsida; Fabales; Fabaceae.